UACAGAGGGUGCGAGCGUUGUUCGGAAUCAUUGGGCGUAAAGCGCACGUAGGCGGCUUCGCAAGUCGGAUGUGAAAUACCUCGGCUCAACCAAGGACGUGCAUCCGAAACUGUGAGGCUUGAGUACUGAAGAGGAUCGCGGAAUUCCCGGUGUAGAGGUGAAAUUCGUAGAUAUCGGGAGGAACACCAGUGGCGAAGGCGGCGAUCUGGGCAGAUACUGACGCUGAGGUGCGAAAGCGUGGGGAGCAAACAGG
RNAcentral lists this ribosomal RNA (253 nucleotides) under uncultured bacterium. Its description in RNAcentral is "partial 16S ribosomal RNA". It matches the Rfam family "Bacterial small subunit ribosomal RNA", at positions 524 to 776 of the family's 1533-position model. The record is from RNAcentral.